Molecule: ribosomal RNA, 467 nt
Filed under: uncultured bacterium
Lineage: Bacteria
Description: partial 16S ribosomal RNA
Rfam family: Bacterial small subunit ribosomal RNA
Source: RNAcentral
GACGAACGCUGGCGGCGUGCUUAACACAUGCAAGUCGAACGGAAAGGCCUCUUUCGGGGGGUACUCGAGUGGCGAACGGGUGAGUAACACGUGAGUAACCUGCCCUUGACUUUGGGAUAACUUCAGGAAACUGGGGCUAAUACCGGAUAGGAGCUCCUGCUGCAUGGUGGGGGUUGGAAAGUUUCGGCGGUUGGGGAUGGACUCGCGGCUUAUCAGCUUGUUGGUGGGGUAGUGGCUUACCAAGGCUUUGACGGGUAGCCGGCCUGAGAGGGUGACCGGCGACAUUGGGACUGAGAUACGGCCCAGACUCCUACGGGUGGCAGCAGUGGGGAAUAUUGCACAAUGGGUGGAAGCCUGAUGCAGCAACGCCGUGUGCGGGAUGACGGACUUCGGGUUGUAAACCGCUUUCGCUCAUGACGAAGCUUUGUGUGACGGUAGUGGGUAAAGAAGCACCGGCUAACUACGUG